Ailuropoda melanoleuca (giant panda) is the source of this 1003-nucleotide long non-coding RNA. RefSeq lists it as uncharacterized. The record is from RefSeq and is a predicted model, not a curated record. NCBI's taxonomy places the organism in Eukaryota, Metazoa, Chordata, Mammalia, Carnivora, Ursidae. The transcript is spliced from 3 exons.
GUUUCAUUUGGCAGACUCUGAAGUUUGAUGCAGAGAAGGUUCCCUGGAACUUUUGAGAUUUCAAGGUUGCAGGGAAGACUUAAUGAAAUACCAUGCUCUUCCUGGAAGAGGAGGCCUGUGGAUAUUUUGACAUUGUCUUUCGAAGUUAUGUUCUCCACAGACAGUAAAGAGGUUAAGGGGUAAGAGAAAGAGAAGAAACAAAUGUUUGGCACCCUCCAUUUUUUUUGGAACCAUGUUCAAAACCUAUCCUCUACUCUUGUCAAAAACACGCAGCUUCAACACAUCUUCAACCUUCUGGAAGGUGGACUUGGUUUUUGUAAACAGCCCAAUGUAAUUCAAAGCUCAGCGUAGUGCAUUACUGCAUCCUUGAAAAACAGGAAAAAAUUGCUGUUGGUUUUUCUCUGAUUAUGAAAGCGAUGUACGGAAAUUGUAUACUGAAAAAAUACAUAAGACCACCAAGAAGACAGCUGCCCAGGAGAUAGAAGAUGCUGGAGAAUAUCAUCGGCCCGUGAUCCAACAAAUCCACAGCUGAGCACCGUGCAAAGUGCUUUCCAUGCUUUUCCUCAUUUUACCUUCAAAACAACUCUAUCAGAUGGACGGUAUUGUCUUCCCACUUGACAGAUAAGGAAGUUGGGCUAAGUCACUGGCUCAGGCGUGUGGCUGUUGAGAGGUGGAGCCCUGACCUCCCCGAAAGGCUGCCUGGCUAGAGUCCACACCUUAACACUGCAAGAGUCAUCUUUUCUCUGUACCGAAGCUACCUGGAACCAACUCAGCCAGCUGGUCACUUGUUCCCUACCCCUAGCUGGCAGGCAUCUGUGAGCACCAGCAGCCAGACCUCCCCAGACUCUCUGCAAUUCUCCUUUUGACUUUCGUCAACAGGCAGGAUUGUCAAUACCCACCAAGCCCCUGGAUGAAGGGCUGGCUUGCUCACCCUUCCUCCACUAAAAAUCCAAGCAAGUAAAUACAGCACGAACCAGAGAAAAGGAGGGGAUGUGCGUCCAAU